RNAcentral lists this long non-coding RNA (228 nucleotides) under Calidris pugnax (ruff). RNAcentral's name for it is "lncRNA (ENSCPUG00000012838.1)". Lineage: Eukaryota; Metazoa; Chordata; Aves; Charadriiformes; Scolopacidae. The record is from RNAcentral.
CCAGGUGGCACCGUGGGCAUGGGGAGAAGGUGCCACCAAACCUUGGGGACAUCCAGAUGGCACCGUGGGCGAGGGGAGGAGGUGCCACCAAGCCUUGGGGACAUCCAGAUGCUAGGGGAGGAGGUGCCACCAAGCCUUGGGGACACAUGGACUGUGCCAGGGACAUGGGGAUGAGGUGCCACCAAGCCAUGGGGGACACCCAGAUGGCACCGUGGACAUGGGGAGGAG